AGGGCCGAAAAAAAGGUGAGCAAGACCAUUAAUGGGCACGAACACAGUAUUUUAACACACUGGCAAAUACCAAGAACAUUGCAUUGAUCCACGUACUAUGUAAACAAAAUUGGAACUGACUUGAAUACAUAAUUUAUUUUUUAAAAAUCAUAAGUCAUCCUAUGACCCGAACUAGGCUUCUGACGUAAUACAUUACUUCUAAGAAGCUGAAGGGCGAAAAGCUUUUGAACUAGGUAGUCCAGAAUUAGUGAACCAACCGUAUUUUAAUAUGAAUCACCGUGUACUUCUAAUUAGUUUUAA
RNAcentral lists this long non-coding RNA (300 nucleotides) under Spirodela polyrhiza (greater duckweed). RNAcentral describes it as "long non-coding RNA (SPOL_LNC001586)". The record is from RNAcentral. Lineage: Eukaryota; Viridiplantae; Streptophyta; Magnoliopsida; Alismatales; Araceae.